CGCGUAGGCGGUAAUGUAAGUCAGACGUGAAAUCCUUCGGCUUAACUGAAGAACUGCGUCUGAAACUGCAUGACUAGAGUGCAGAAGAGGGAAACGGAAUUCCUGGUGUAGAGGUGAAAUUCGUAGAUAUCAGGAGGAACACCGGUGGCGAAGGCGGUUUCCUGGUCUGACACUGACGCUGAGGCGCGAAAGCGUGGGGAGCAAACAGGAUUAGAUACCCUGGUAGUCCACGCCGUAAACGGUGGGUACUGGGUGUGGGAGGUGUAAUGCCUUCUGUGCCGAAGCUAACGCGUUAAGUACCCCGCCUGGAGAGUACGGCCGCAAGGUUGAA
RNAcentral lists this ribosomal RNA (331 nucleotides) under uncultured bacterium. RNAcentral's name for it is "bacterial SSU rRNA". It matches the Rfam family "Bacterial small subunit ribosomal RNA", at positions 568 to 898 of the family's 1533-position model. The record is from RNAcentral.